This 7028-nucleotide long non-coding RNA is filed under the name Panax ginseng (ginseng). RNAcentral describes it as "long non-coding RNA (PGIN_LNC000303)". Lineage: Eukaryota; Viridiplantae; Streptophyta; Magnoliopsida; Apiales; Araliaceae. The record is from RNAcentral.
AAAUGAAAGAAAAGUUGAAGGUAUUGUACUGUAAGAUUUUGAGCCCCAAAACGUGUAAUUAUUAAAACUAUAUUUUUCUAUAAAUGGAAGCUCAUUCUUCCUUCAUUUCUCACCAAUUCACUAAAGCUUUAGAGCAAUUAUUAUAGAGAGAAAUUAUAGAGAGAAAGAAGAAGAGAAGUCUGAUACCUCACUAUUCCAAUAUCCAGUUUCUUCUAAGGUAAGGGGUAUUAUUUCUUUCGUAUUCAUGAAGAGAGCUAUUGUUAUUCCAUUUCUUAUUAUUAUGUUGGAAUAACCUGUCUAUGCGAAGUACUGCAUACAUGGUGAAAUUCUUCUAUUAUUCCAUUCUUUAUUUGUAAGACCCCAACUUUUUAUGAAUAAAGAUGAAUUUUCUAUAAUUAUCAUUUUUGAAUAUUAUGGAUUGAAUUUGAUAUAAUGUUAUAGUUGUGGGAAAUAGUUAUAAAUUUUGCAAAGUACGCAAGUUGUUAUAUAAUAUUUGAUUGGUCGAGGAAUAUUCGUCUUAACAGGGAAUAUUCGUACGACGACACAAUCAUUGGUGGACCCCACAACGAAAUUAUUGUCGGAUUGAGAAAACGACAAAAAUAUUUUAUGAAAAUAAUGGCGGAAGUUUUAUCGUUAACUGUUGAAACACCCGGUGUUAAUAGUACAGGAAUACGCGUGGUUGCCUAGUAGCACACGGUAUUGCUUACGUGAGAAGUCACUCAGUUUUGUUUAAUUAUUGCUUCAGUAAUUGUUGCAUAGUAUCUCACGUUAAUUGAUUCAAUUAUUGUCGAUAUUUUAUAUAUUAUUAAAUCAAUAAUUGAGACGACGAAGUUAUUAAUAUUAUUAUUUGCAAUAUUAACGAUGUCUAGAAUUCUGCCAAGGAGAGGUUUGGUCACCUACUUGCGCGCCAAUAGGGAAAAAUCCUUAUUGGAAAGCCCUCUCUUUCCUGGGAAUGAUCUGGUCGAUUAAUAGUGUGAAUUAUAAUAAUGAUGAUGAAGUUUUGUUUUAUUAGUAUUAUUAAUGUAAUAAAACAGAAAAGCUUUUUAUAUAAAACAGAAUACUUUUAUAAAGUUAUUCGUUUUAUUAGACUAUAAAUAGAAUAUAUUAUAUUCUAUAAUGCAUAGUGUUUUGCAUAGUAAAAUCUUUUUAUAUAAAACAAAAUACUUUUAUAAAGUUAUUCAUUUUAUUAGACUAUAAAUAGAAUAUAUUAUAUUUUAUUAUGCAUAGUGUUUUCAUAGUAAAAUCUUUUUAUAUAAAAUAAAAUACUUUUAUAAAAUGCAGGUGGAAACACUGGCAACUCUCGGACGGUCACCGCUAAGCAGUUCAAGGAAUUGGGACCAGCGGAGUUUUUUAGAGAGCCAAAACCACUUAAGGCGGAGACGUGGAUAAAGCAGAUCUGCAAGAUAUUUGAUGUCUUGGGAUGCUCCGACGAGCAAAAGGUUCUCUUUGCCACCUUCAUGUUGCGUGCAGAGGCAGAUUACCGGUGGAAAUCUGUAAAACGUACUCAACCUGCCGCACUGAAGAUGACUUGGGAGAAGUUCCAAGAAUUGUUCAACGAUAAGUACUUUCCCGAAAGUAUUCGUCACAUGAAAGAGGUAGAGUUCAUCAAGCUGGAGCAAAACAACAUGAUCGUGUCGCAGUACGAAGCCAAGUUUACCGAGCUGUCCUGGUUUGCGUCCCAUUUGGUUGAUAAUGAGGAGAGAAUGACACGAAUGUUUCUAAGAGGUUUGAAACCCGAGAUACGUCAAUAUCUUAUCUCUCAUAAACUGUGUUUGUAUUCAGAUGUUUUUAAUAGGGCUCAGUUAUUGGAGCGCGAUAAUGAGUCAACCCAACCAAGAAAGAGCAGUCGGCAAAAUGAUAAUACUAGUGAUAACAGUCAUCGAAGCGGUGACAAUAAGCGUGGAGGGAAUCAACAUGCCAGAAAUUGUAACCACUUCGGUGGUAAUCAUGGCCAAAACAAUAAGAAUGGACAUUUCAAGAAGAGGAGAUUCAACAAUGAUGGAAAGACGUCAGCACCAGCACCCGUUGUUAAGGAAGGAGAACGACCACAUAUCAUAUGCUUCAAAUGCGAAGGGGAGGGACACAUCAGUCCAAACUGCGCGAUGUCGUCCAAAGCAUGUUAUAAUUGUGGAAGAGAAGGUCACCUAGCCCGAUUUUGUCGUUCAUCGAAGACAAGUUCAGCUAGGAUGGAGGCACCAAAGGAUAUCCCAGAAAAGUCAAAGCCAGUAGUGCAAGGGAGAGCGUUUGUCGUGACCUCCCAGAAAGCAAGGAACCCGAACGAGGUCAUUAUGGGUAAGCUUAUCAUAAACUCUAGAGAAGUUUAUACCUUAUUUGAUACCGGUUCUACCCAUUCUUUUAUUUCUCCUACUUGCACUCAACGUUUAAAUUUGAUUUCGGAGAAAUUAGACUUUGACUUAUCUGUUGAAACUCUAUUGGGAGAAACCUUCAUUACAUCCACUGUUUAUAAGUCUUAUUUGGUUCAAAUCGGUACCCUCACAUUACUAGGAAUUGAUUAGUUAACUACUCAUCAUGCAAAAAUUGAUUGUUUUCGUAAGGUUGUUAGUUUUCAUAUUCCUAACCAACCUAUUAUACGAAUUCAAGCAACCAAACCAUUAAAAUCAAUCACUGUCAUCUCAAGCCAUAAAGCUAUUCAUUUAUUGAAAAACAGAUGUCAAGCUUUCUUAGCUCAUGUCACGGAUCUAAACAAAAAUACGUCAGUUUUGAAUGAUAUUUCUAUUGUUAAUGAAUUACCUAACGUAUUCCAUGAAGAACUUCCUGGCCUACCCCCAGAGCGUGAAAUUAAAUUUUGUAUCGACCUUGAACUCGGUACAAAACCCAUUUCCAAAGCCCCAUAUCGAAUGACUCCUAUUGAACUUCAGGAGUUAAAGACCCAACUACAGGAAUUGUUAGGCAUCGGUUUCAUUCGUCCUAGUACGUCUCCUUGGGGUGCUCCUGUUCUAUUCCUGAAGAAGAAAGAUGAGAAUAUGCAACUUUGUAUUGAUUAUCGGGAGUUAAACCAUGUCACUAUCAAAAAUAGAUAUCCAUUGCCUCGCAUUGAUGACCUGUUUGACCAGUUGCAAGGCGCCAAAUUUUUUUCAAAGAUUGAUCUUCGUUCCGGAUAUCACCAAUUGAAGAUUAGAACCGAUGACAUUCCAAAGAUGGCUUUCAGAACUCGGUACGGGCAUUAUGAAUUCCUAGUCAUGUCUUUUGGAUUGAUUAAUGCUCCUGCUGCCUUCAUGGAUAUGAUGAACCGAGUAUUCAAGGAAUAUUUGGAUCACUUUGUGGUCGUCUUUAUUGAUGACAUCCUUAUUUAUUCUAAAAGUCGUGAAGAUCAUGAGCAACACUUGAGGCUGAUACUUCAAAAGCUUCGUGAAUAUAAGCUUUAUGCCAAAUUGAAGAAAUACGAGUUCUGGCUUAAGGAAGUGGCAUUCCUUGGGCACGUGGUAUCAAGUUAUGAAAUAUCUGUUGACCCAGCAAAGAUUGAAGCUAUUCAAAGCUGGGAACAACCUAAAUCAGUGACCGAAGUACGUAGUUUUCUCGGCUUAACUAGUUAUUAUCGGAGAUUCAUAGAACGGUUUUCUCAAAUCACUACUCCCUUAACUCAGCUGACUCGGAAAGAUAUAAAAUUCGAUUGGAACGAGGAAUGUGAGAAGAGUUUUCAAGAACUCAAGAGAAGACUCAUUUCAGCACCUGUUCUGACAAUACCAUCUGGCUCGGAGGGAUUUGUCAUCUACAGUGAUGCUUCAGGCAAAGGGUUAGGAUGUGUUCUCAUGCAACAUGGGAAAGUCAUAGCCUAUGCCUCUCGACAACUCAAAGAAUAUGAGAGGAAUUAUCCUACUCAUGAUCUAGAGUUGGCAGCUGUUGUCUUCGCACUUAAAAUUUGGAGGCAUUACUUGUAUGGGGAGAAAGUGGAGAUCUUUACGGAUCAUAAAAGCCUCAAAUAUUUCUUCACUCAAAAGGAACUCAACAUGCGACAACGACGUUGGCUUGAACUGUUGAAAGAUUAUGAUCAUACCAUCCAAUACCAUCCUGGAAAAGCGAACGUGGUAGCUGACGCAUUGAGUAGAAGAUCAUAUGCGGGUACGAGUGCGAUAUUGUCAACGCAAAGGCCCAUUUUGUAUGACUUGCAAAGGAUGGAGAUAGAGAUAAAGACUCCAGGGACCCACGUGAUGAUGGCGAAUAUACGAGUAGAACCGACUUUAAUCGAUAAAGUUAAAGCUGCUCAAGCUACAGACCUGGAGCUGAUGCGUAUGAGGAAGAAAGUGCAAGAAGGUGCUAUGCCGGAAGCAAGAAUCGAUGAAGAAGGAAUACUUCGAGUCAACUCCAGACUUUGUGUUCCUAACGACCCUGAUUUAAAGUAUAAAAUCAUGAUGGAGGCGCACAACACACCGUUUGCAAUCCAUCCUGGGAGUACCAAAAUGUAUCAUGAUCUUCGACAUACAUUUUGGUGGGGCAAUAUGAAGAGAGAGAUAGCGCUGUUUAUCUCAAGGUGUCUAACGUGUCAACGAGUCAAGGCGGAGCAUCAAGUACCAAAAGGUCCAUUGCAACCACUUGAAAUUCCAGAAUGGAAGUGGGAGCACAUUACCAUGGAUUUCGUUACUGGUCUUCCCAAGGUUUCUCAAGGCAUAGAUGCAAUUUGGGUCAUUGUUGAUAGAUUGACCAAGUCUGCUCAUUUCUUACCAAUACGAGAAACUUAUACACUUGAACGUCUUGCUCGUAUGUACAUAAACGAGAUUGUAAGACUGCAUGGUAUGCCAGUAUCCAUAGUUUCUGAUCGAGACCCAAGAUUCACUUCACGAUUUUGGGUUAGUUUGCAAAAAGCUAUGGGCACGGAUUUACGAUUUAGUUCGGCAUAUCAUCCUCAGACGGACGAACAAUCGGAUAGGACUAUUCAAACUCUUGAAGAUUUAUUAAGACUCUGUGUCUUUGACUUCAAGGGAAGUUGGGACAAGUUAUUACCAUUGGUGGAGUUUUCUUACAACAACAGUUAUCAAACAAGUGGCAUGGCUCCAUUCGAGGCGUUGUAUGGAAGAACGUGUCGCUCUCCAGUAUGCUAGGAUGAGGUGGGUAAAACAACGUUGUUGGGAUCGGAGUUGGUACGUAUGACUACAAAAAAGAUUCAAACGAUCUGACAACGUAUAAAAACCUCACAAGACCGACAAAAGAGUUGUGUUGAUCUUCAUCGAAAGGACUUGGAAUUCGAUAUUGGAGAUCAUGUGUUGUUAUGUGUUGCUCCAUGGAAAGGAGUUACGAGAUUUAGAAAGAGAGGAAAGCUCAAUCCUCGAUUCAUUGGCCCAUUUUUAAUCCUCGAUCGAGUAGGAACUGUGGCCUAUAGACUCGCCUUACCGCCAAGUAUGUCUCGUGUUCAUAACGUUUUUCACAUAUCUAUGUUACGUAAAUAUGUGAAAGACCCGAACCACAUUAUUGAAUUAGAACCAGACGAGAUAGAGGAAGAUUUAACGUAUGAAGAGUUACCUGUUAAAAUCUUGGAUAAGAAGGAUCAUAUUCUACGCUCCAAGGUUAUACCUCAAGUCAAAGUUUUGUGGAGAAACCACGAUGUGGAAGAAAUGACCUGGGAGUUAGAAUCUGAGAUGAAGUCAAGAUAUCCUCACCUCUUCGAUAUACCAGGUACGUACCCUAAUUUCGAGGACGAAAUUUCAUAAGAAGGGGAGGUUGUAAGACCCCAACUUUUAUGAAUAAAGAAUAAUUUUCUCGAAAUAUAUUUUUGAAUAUUAUGGUGUGGAUUUGAUAUAAUGUUAUAGUUGUGGGUAAUAUUUACAAAUUUUGCAAAGUAAGCAAGUGGUUAUAUAAUAUUCGAUUGGUCGGGGAAUAUUCGUUUUAACAGGGAAUAUUCGUACGACGGCACAAUCAUUGGUGGACCCCACAACGGAAGUAUUGUCGUAGUUAGAAAAUGACAGAAUUAUCUUUUUAUAAAAAUAACGGCGAAAGUGUUACCGUUAAAACUGUUGAACUACCCGGUAGUAAAAGUACAGUAAUACGCGUGGUUGCAUAGUAGCACACGGUAUUGAUUAUUGAUGCUUACGUGAGAAGUCACUCAGUUAUACUCAAUUAUUGCUACAGUAAUUGCUGCAUCAUAUCUCUCAUAUUAUUGAUUCAAUUAUUGUCACAGUAUCAUCUGCAUAAUAUGUUAUAUUAUUAAAUCAAUAAUUGAGACGACAAAGUUAUUCAUAUUAUUAUUUGCAAUAUUGACAAUGUCUAGAAGUUCUGUCAAGGAGAGGUUUGGUCACCUAAUUGCGCGCCAAUAAGGAGAAAUCCUUAUCGGAAAGCCCCCUCUUUCCUGGGAACGACCUGGUUGUUAAAUAUUGUGAGUUAUAAUAUUAAUGAUGAAUAAGUUCGUGUUGAUUAAAGAUGAAAUUGAUAGUUCCAUUGUGUUGGAAUUAUUAGUGUUAGUGGAAAUCGACAUUUAUUUCGAUAAUAAUUGAUGUCUGGAGGUUAUAUUGACCAAUCGGGUAAUUAAUCGGAUAAAUGAGCAAUUAAUUGCUAUUAAUUCACAUGAUUAUAACUAUUUGUUCACAUGUGUGUACUAUUGAUUCACAUUCUUGUACUAUUAGGGGAGUUGGUGCAAGAUUGAUAAUACUUGCAUGACUAAGUUAAAAAUGGAGGUAUAGAUGGAGGUACUAUACUGUAAUUCGUAUUUUCACAUGAUUAUAACUAUUGAUUCACAUGAUUGAACUAUUGAUUCACAUUAUUUACUAUUAGGGGAGGUGGUGCAAGUUUGAUAAUACUUGCAGGACUAAAUUAAAAAUGAAGAAAAAGAGGAAGGUAUUAUACUGUAAUAUUUCGAGCCCCAAAACGUGCAAUUAUCGAAACUAUAUUUUCCUAUAAAUAGAAGCUCAUUCUUCCUUCAUUUCUCACCAAUUCACUAAAGCUAUAGAGCAAUUAUUAUAGAGAGAAAUUAUAGAGAGAAAGAAGAAGAGAAGUCUGCUACCUCACUAUUCCAGUAUCCAGUUUUCUUCUAAGGUAAGGGGUAUUAUUCUUUCGUAUUCAUGAAGAGAGUUAUUUUCUUU